This 269-nucleotide ribosomal RNA is filed under the name uncultured bacterium. RNAcentral's name for it is "partial 16S ribosomal RNA". It matches the Rfam family "Bacterial small subunit ribosomal RNA", at positions 8 to 303 of the family's 1533-position model. The record is from RNAcentral.
AGAGUUUGAUCAUGGCUCAGAACGUACGCUGGCGGCACGCCUAACACAUGCAAGUCGAACGAAGUAGCAAUACUUAGUGGCAGACGGGUGAGUAACAUGUAGGUAUCUGCCCUUUGGCCUGGAAUAACACGAGGAAACUUGUGCUAAUACCGGAUAAGUCUUUACGGAGAAAGCUUUAUGCACCAUUGGAUGAGCCUGCACUUGAUUAGUUUGUUGGUGGGGUAAUGGCCUACCAAGACNUNUGAUCAAUAGCUGAUUUGAGAGGAUGA